RNAcentral lists this ribosomal RNA (266 nucleotides) under uncultured bacterium. Its description in RNAcentral is "partial 16S ribosomal RNA". It matches the Rfam family "Bacterial small subunit ribosomal RNA", at positions 334 to 592 of the family's 1533-position model. The record is from RNAcentral.
GUAUCCUACGGGGCGCAGCAGUGGGGAGGGUUGCGCAAUGGGCGAAAGCCUGACGCAGCGACGCCGCGUGAGGGAUGAAGGUCUUCGGAUCGUAAACCUCUGUCAGCAGGGAAGAACGGUCACUGUGCUAAUCAGCAGUGAAUUGACGGUACCUGCAAAGGAAGCACCGGCUAACUCCGUGCCAGCAGCCGCGGUAAUACGGAGGGUGCGAGCGUUAAUCGGAAUUACUGGGCGUAAGGCGCUCGUAGGCGGUAUGUCAAGUCAAG